GCGCCUAUGGUCUAAUGGAUAAGGCAUUUGACUUUUAACCAGGCGAUUGUGAGUUCGAGCGCACUGGGCGUG
Molecule: transfer RNA, 72 nt
Filed under: Jatropha curcas
Lineage: Eukaryota; Viridiplantae; Streptophyta; Magnoliopsida; Malpighiales; Euphorbiaceae
Rfam family: tRNA
About the family: Transfer RNA (tRNA) molecules are approximately 80 nucleotides in length. Their secondary structure includes four short double-helical elements and three loops (D, anti-codon, and T loops). Further hydrogen bonds mediate the characteristic L-shaped molecular structure. tRNAs have two regions of fundamental functional importance: the anti-codon, which is responsible for specific mRNA codon recognition, and the 3' end, to which the tRNAs corresponding amino acid is attached (by aminoacyl-tRNA synthetases). tRNAs cope with the degeneracy of the genetic code in two manners: having more than one tRNA (with a specific anti-codon) for a particular amino acid; and 'wobble' base-pairing, i.e. permitting non-standard base-pairing at the 3rd anti-codon position.
Source: Rfam by way of RNAcentral